CAGCCGCCACGGGAAUACGAAGGGUGCAAGCGUUACUUGGAAUUACUGGGCGUAAAGCGUGCGUAGGUGGUGGUUUAAGUCCGUUGUGAAAGCCCUGGGCUCAACCUGGGAAUUGCAGUGGAUACUGGGUCACUAGAGUGUGGUAGAGGAUAGUGGAAUUUCCGGUGUAGCAGUGAAAUGCGUAGAGAUCGGAAGGAACAUCUGUGGCGAAGGCGACUAUCUGGGCCAACACUGACACUGAGGCACGAAAGCGUGGGGAGCAAACAGGAUUAGAUACCCCUGUAGUCCCUGUCUCUUAUAC
RNAcentral lists this ribosomal RNA (301 nucleotides) under uncultured bacterium. Its description in RNAcentral is "partial 16S ribosomal RNA". It matches the Rfam family "Bacterial small subunit ribosomal RNA", at positions 509 to 807 of the family's 1533-position model. The record is from RNAcentral.